CCUACGGGAGGCAGCAGUGAGGAAUAUUGGACAAUGGGCGCAAGCCUGAUCCAGCCAUGCCGCGUGCAGGAUGACGGUCCUAUGGAUUGUAAACUGCUUUUAUACGGGAAGAAACCCUGGCUCGUGAGCCAGAUUGACGGUACCGUAAGAAUAAGGAUCGGCUAACUCCGUGCCAGCAGCCGCGGUAAUACGGAGGAUCCAAGCGUUAUCCGGAAUCAUUGGGUUUAAAGGGUCCGUAGGCGGUUUAAUAAGUCAGUGGUGAAAGCCCAUCGCUCAACGGUGGAACGGCCAUUGAUACUGUUAGACUUGAAUUAUUAGGAAGUAACUAGAAUAUGUAGUGUAGCGGUGAAAUGCUUAGAGAUUACAUGGAAUACCAAUUGCGAAGGCAGGUUACUACUAAUUGAUUGACGCUGAUGGACGAAAGCGUGGGUAGCGAACAGGAUUAGAUACCCUGGUAGUCCACGCCGUAAACGAUGGAUACUAGCUGUUGGGAGUAAUCUCAGUGNGUAGACGAAGUAGAGUAAGUAUACCACCGUCGGGUAGGUACGUUACGUCGAAGAAGUAGAACGUACAAAUAGAAGUUAGUACGGACGUGAGACGUAGCCGAACGGACGACGACGAGGGAGGAGG
Molecule: ribosomal RNA, 630 nt
Filed under: uncultured bacterium
Lineage: Bacteria
Description: bacterial SSU rRNA
Rfam family: Bacterial small subunit ribosomal RNA (bases 1-534)
Source: RNAcentral